UCCGAUAAGGGCAAAACCAGAGAGAUCUGGCGACGCAAAGCCACGGGUCCUGAUCACAGGACAGCCGGGUUGCCGAAG
Regulatory RNA element from Geothermobacter sp., 78 nucleotides. It matches the Rfam family "c-di-GMP-I-GGC riboswitch aptamer". NCBI's taxonomy places the organism in Bacteria, Pseudomonadati, Thermodesulfobacteriota, Desulfuromonadia, Desulfuromonadales, Geothermobacteraceae. The record is from Rfam.